UAGUCCACGCCGUAAACGAUGUCUACUAGCUGUCUGGGACUUUAAUGUACUGGGUAGCGCAGCUAACGCGCUAAGUAGACCGCCUGGGGAGUACGGCCGCAAGGCUAAAACUCAAAUGAAUUGACGGGGGCCCGCACAAGCGGUGGAGCAUGUGGUUUAAUUCGAUGCAACGCGAAGAACCUUACCAUCCCUUGACAUCCCAAGAACUUUCCAGAGAUGGAUUGGUGCCUUCGGGAACUUGGAGACAGGUGCUGCAUGGCUGUCGUCAGCUCGUGUCGUGAGAUGUUGGGUUAAGUCCCGCAACGAGCGCAACCCUUGUCCUUAGUUGCCAGCAUUAAGUUGGGCACUCUAAGGAGACUGCCGGUGAUAAAACCGGGNGGAAGGUGGGGACGACGUCAAGUCAUCAUGGCCCUUACGGGGAUGGGGCUACACACGUGCUACAAUGGGGGCGUACAGAGGGAAGCGAAGCAGCGAUGGGUGAGCGAAU
This 487-nucleotide ribosomal RNA is filed under the name uncultured bacterium. Its description in RNAcentral is "bacterial SSU rRNA". It matches the Rfam family "Bacterial small subunit ribosomal RNA", at positions 791 to 1272 of the family's 1533-position model. The record is from RNAcentral.